UACGUAGGGGGCAAGCGUUGUCCGGAAUUAUUGGGCGUAAAGCGCGUGUAGGCGGCUCGGUAAGUCUGCUGUGAAAGUCCAGGGCUCAACCCUGGAAUGCCGGUGGAUACUGUCGAGCUCGAGUCCGGAAGAGGCGAGUGGAAUUCCUGGUGUAGCGGUGGAAUGCGCAGAUAUCAGGAGGAACACCGAUGGCGAAGGCAGCUCGCUGGGACGGUACUGACGCUGAGGCGCGAAAGCGUGGGGAGCGAACAGG
This 253-nucleotide ribosomal RNA is filed under the name uncultured bacterium. Its description in RNAcentral is "partial 16S ribosomal RNA". It matches the Rfam family "Bacterial small subunit ribosomal RNA", at positions 524 to 776 of the family's 1533-position model. The record is from RNAcentral.